CAAUUCAACAAGGAUAAACUUUCACUGGAACAAACUCCUUCAGCCAUCAACCAACUUAAGCUAUAAUUGCAACUCUUAACUCAGUUAAACCACCAUAUGUAAUAUCAUGGUUGGGAUUUGCAGAAGGUUCUGUUAUUGUAAAGCCAUGAAGCUGAAGGGUGACCAUUAACUCUCCAUUGAGAUGAGUAAAACUAGUUACUUGGAGCUUCUGCAAUUCCCAUAAACAAAGGGGAGGGGACCAGCUGGGUUCGUCUUCCUCCCCAAUUCCUGAAGUCUUAUUUUGUACUCAUCUGAUCCAAAACCAUGCACUGAAUCUGAUCACAAUCCAC
Molecule: long non-coding RNA, 329 nt
Filed under: Linum usitatissimum (flax)
Lineage: Eukaryota; Viridiplantae; Streptophyta; Magnoliopsida; Malpighiales; Linaceae
Description: long non-coding RNA (LUSI_LNC001135)
Source: RNAcentral